AGACCCGGGUUCGAUUCCCACCUGGGUACAAUGUGUGAAGCCCAUUUCUGGUGUCCCCAGCCGUGAUAUUGCUGGAAUAUUGCUAAAAGCGGCGUAAAACCAUACUCUCCCAUACUCACCCAGUUCUAAUCACAAAUUGACAUAAUAACUUUGGAUCUCAGUGUUGUCCUGUUGAACUUGUCCAGUCAGUGCUAUCUUAACAUCUUUUGAGCACCAACACCAUGCAGCUUAGGCCAUGUAAUGCAAUAAUUCAAGCUGUAAUGUGAAGCUGUGGUGGAACGUAUUCCAGUGUUCAAUUCCUUGCACAUAUCAGCAGAUGAAUCUUGUUCGGUUCUUGUUGGUACUUAUAGGAAUUCUUGCUCUCAGGUAGUUAAGGAUGAUUGGAGUAUUUCUGCUCAUUAUCAUUCAAAAUAGAAUCAUGAUAAGUUUUUGCCCAUUUUCCUAUAAUAGCUUCUCAGAUGUUCAAAAAGUGUUCAGUUUCAACUGUACAUGUAUCAGUGCAAUUUUCAGAUUUGGUUCAUGAACAAAUGAGAUAUUACUCAGGUUGACAUAUCAACAUAUCUGUAGUGUCAUUGUUAAACUUAAAAUAGUUCCUUGUAACAGAUUAUAAGGUAAUAUAUGUAUCCUUGCCAUUAUUUCUCAAUUUUGACUGAUUGAUUUCAACUUCAUUCUAAUUCUCUCUGAACAGAAAAGUGGAACACAUUAGUCAAUUUUGUUUGUUGAUGCUUCAACUUUUAAAGGUUACUUAAACUUGUUAGAGCCAGCUGAAAUGUAAUGUCAGUUUUUAAAGCACAUCUUUUUAUGUAUUCAGAGCCUGUAGGCCAUCCUCCAGUAAUCCUUUAGGAGGCGUUAGAAGCAGAAUGUUUCAUCAGUGUAAUUGGAGCACUCUGUAUUCCAGUAUUUUUCAUCAUGUAUGUACACAAGGAUGUAGACACCAGCAUACUGUUAUUCCCAUGUGCCAUAUAUCAAGCAUUAUUGAGAAGUCCCAGAUACUUGUUGUUGUGUAUGUCAAGUCUCCACAUAAUAAUGCAUAUCAAUAUUGCUACAGUGAGCUUAAUAUAUAGAUACCAGUCUCUAUUUAUACCUUAACACAGACUGCUGUUAAAUUAGUAAUUUGUCUAAUUGAGUUAUUUUUUCCAUUUUCAGUUUGGGUCUAAUUAAUAAUAUAUAUUUUUAUAUUUUAUCACUUCUCAGAUUGUGAGUGAAAAUACGAUGAGAAUCUAGAUGAUUUUAGAGUUUCUAUCCUUUGUAGUUCUGAGGGGUUUGUGUUUCUUCUCAUAGGCAUGCCAGAAACUUAUGGUCUUGGACGAUGCCAGAAUUUCCCAGAUUAUGUUUCUUAGUUUGUCAGCAACUACCUAUGGUGUUUGUUUUCAUCAAAGGGUAAAUGUCUACGGUCUGCAUUGCGGUGGGGUAGCUUAGUACUUAAAACGUUCAACCAUCAUGCCGAAGACUGGGGUAUGAUUCCCCACAUGGGUACAAUGUGUGAAGCCCAUUUCUGGUGUCCCCCACCGUGAUAUUGCUGGAAUAUUGCUAAAAGAAGCGUAAAACCAUACUCACUCAGUCUAUGGUCUGCAGUACAUGGAGCUGAUCUUGAUACCCCUUAUGUAGUCAGGAAUGAGCAAUCAGUCACAGAUCAUAUGACCUUAAGGAGAUUAAUGAGAAUCCUUUGGAAAUGGAAUUUUAGUAUCUUUGAACAUUUUGUAUCAAAACAUUUGAAUUUGAAGAUUACCAGAGUUGCAUGUUGAUGCUGUGCUCACCUCCAAAUUUCUCUUCAAGUCAUUUUUAUUUGUUUAAUAUGUGAAGUCACUUUAAUAUGUGAAGUUUCCAAGGACCUGGUAAAAGAUAAAGAGAUGCUUCAAGAUUAGCACCAUAGGUCCAUCAUUCAUGUUCAUCGCUUUGACUCCCUCAAGAAGUGCAAUGUAUAUUAGUUAUGUUUCUUUAUGCUCCUUUACCAUGUUGUUGUACAGUUGCAGGUAACACUUGCUGGUAAUGGAUGCAAAUUUUAAACUGUCUUAUCUGCUGUGAUGCAAUGCUAAAUUUGCCGAAUAAAGAUAUUACUGUC
Molecule: long non-coding RNA, 2062 nt
Filed under: Haliotis rubra (blacklip abalone)
Lineage: Eukaryota; Metazoa; Mollusca; Gastropoda; Lepetellida; Haliotidae
Description: uncharacterized LOC124279495
Source: RNAcentral